RNAcentral lists this long non-coding RNA (471 nucleotides) under Monodelphis domestica (gray short-tailed opossum). RNAcentral's name for it is "lncRNA (ENSMODG00000038350.1)". The record is from RNAcentral. Lineage: Eukaryota; Metazoa; Chordata; Mammalia; Didelphimorphia; Didelphidae.
UGAGGCACUGGUAAGUCAUUGAACAGUUAAUAAAAGGUUUACUUUUUCCUAACACAGCAAGCAUCUGCACCAAGGAUACAGUCAUACUUCACAUCUCCGAAUGCAUCCCCUCAUAUGGAAAUCCAUCUGUUCAUCAGGGAAGGAUACGGUGAAAGACAUGGAGAUUUGUGUGAUCUUCAGAAAUCUACUAAUUCAGAGGGGCCUGACUGCACAUGAGUGAGAUUCUUCUGCCCUUAGGCUUUCUCCUGUGGGAUCAAAUCAAAAUAGUCCUGUUCGCAUCAAAACCUCAUUCUCUGGAUCAUUUUAAGACCAGGAUAACGAAUACAAUCUCUUCAGUUACCAAGUAGCAACUGAGGAAAGUUUCUUACCAAAUUAAAAAAUCAACUGAAGCAAUGUAUAGCACAAGAUGGUGGUUAUGUUGAAUUUUAAUAAGAACUUUAUCAAUAUUUCAAGGUUUUAAAUAAUUAACCU